UCUGCACUCGGCCACCUUAACCCUGGCUGCUAGGCAGUUCUGCUUUCAAUGGAGAACUAAGCCUCCGGUCCACGAUCCCAGAGCCUCGGCUGCCUGCCACCCCUCUGUUCUUCUUUGGAAAUGGGUAAUGAAGAGGUCUGAGUAGACGGUGACAAAGAUUCUCCGUAACCAAAUUUUAGUUAGGCUUCUCCGAGUCUUCUGUCUACUGGGCUGUACCAUGGCCUUCCUUUUUGUCCUAGCAGAAUACUGCUAAGUCAUCCUCUCAUCCUGACACCUGAUCACUCUUGGUAUUUUGACACUUGAUAUCUGAGGAUAUUUCUUUUAUUCCCCCGCCUGUGAUGUAUAAAUUCUUGGCCUGCCUUUGUUAAGAAUCCCCCCUGCCUUUGAUGUUCUUCUCCUCCUAGUAAUUUUCAAUCCACUUGUUUCUUGGCUAUAAGUCUCCAGCUGUCUUUGCUGUUUUCUGAGUUUCCCUCAGUUCUCCCCCGCCUCCCAUAUCAGUUAGAACUGCUAUUACAAUGGACUUUAAUGAAUACUUCAUCAAGGGGAUGUGGCUCAGUGGUCGAGUAAGCUUUCCUAGCAUGUGCCAAGCCUAGUUUCAUCUCCAAGAGCGUCAAAACAAUUUUAAAAUUAUGUUUUAAUAAGUAUCCAAAUAUUUUUUCUUUAAUAACAGCAAUCUCUCUGCCACAUUCCCAGGAGGACCAUAGAGUGUAUAUAUAUAUAUAUAUUAUAUAUAUAUAUUUAUUAUUAGUUGUUCAAAACAUUACAAAGCUCUUGACAUAUCAUAUUUCAUACCAUAGAACAUAUUUUAAAUCUCAAUUGCCUAAUCAAUAAAAAGGGGAUGUUAAUAAUCCCUGCUCUGUGUUCUAGUCAAAGAGAGAUGGUGAAGCCCAGAAAAGA
Molecule: long non-coding RNA, 897 nt
Filed under: Marmota monax (woodchuck)
Lineage: Eukaryota; Metazoa; Chordata; Mammalia; Rodentia; Sciuridae
Source: RNAcentral